RNAcentral lists this ribosomal RNA (253 nucleotides) under uncultured bacterium. RNAcentral's name for it is "partial 16S ribosomal RNA". It matches the Rfam family "Bacterial small subunit ribosomal RNA", at positions 524 to 776 of the family's 1533-position model. The record is from RNAcentral.
UACAGAGGUCUCAAGCGUUGUUCGGAUUCACUGGGCGUAAAGGGUGCGUAGGCGGUCGGGUAAGUCUGAUGUGAAAUCUCACAGCUCAACUGUGAAACUGCAUUGGAUACUAUUCGGCUUGAGGUCUGGAGGGGGGACUGGAAUUCUCGGUGUAGCAGUGAAAUGCGUAGAUAUCGAGAGGAACACCAGUGGCGAAGGCGAGUCCCUGGACAGGUCCUGACGCUGAGGCACGAAAGCUAGGGGAGCAAACAGG